RNAcentral lists this transfer RNA (74 nucleotides) under Candidatus Methylacidithermus pantelleriae. It matches the Rfam family "tRNA". From Rfam's summary of the family: Transfer RNA (tRNA) molecules are approximately 80 nucleotides in length. Their secondary structure includes four short double-helical elements and three loops (D, anti-codon, and T loops). Lineage: Bacteria; Pseudomonadati; Verrucomicrobiota; Methylacidiphilae; Methylacidiphilales; Methylacidiphilaceae. The record is from Rfam by way of RNAcentral.
GCACCCGUAGCUCAAUUGGAUAGAGCGUCGGCCUCCGGAGCCGAAGGCUCCGAGUUCAAGUCUCGGCGGGUGCA